RNAcentral lists this long non-coding RNA (4307 nucleotides) under Selaginella moellendorffii. RNAcentral's name for it is "long non-coding RNA (SMOE_LNC001958)". Lineage: Eukaryota; Viridiplantae; Streptophyta; Lycopodiopsida; Selaginellales; Selaginellaceae. The record is from RNAcentral.
UUAGAGUAUAUUUCAGUAUUAUAAGAACCCAGGAGCAUAGCAUUUUAUUCCACCACAUAUACUUUUGAAAGGAGCACCAGUGUGACCACUGGCAAUGGAGCUUGCUAAGCUUCACUCUCGGAGGCUUGAACUAGUGCCACCGCUUUAAUAACAAGGUCUCCCAACGCACCAGAAGUAGAAAAGGACGGAAGCUGCACAAGACAAUUCGUGCACUCAUCGCUGACAGACAGCUUAUUACUGCCAAUGUAUGGACAAUCAAAGUUUAUAGUGGCAACUUUGGUGCCCUUCGUAUAGAGGUCAAAUCCACCUGUAGUCCCAGAUGGAGAAGCUUGCCUUCCACAUGCAGCAAAUGGCGGGUUGGGAGAGGUUUCUCCCGCAGCAAUGGUUAUCCCACCUGGUGCACUCGCGUCGGCGUUCUUAUCUGGGUAUUUGUACCACUUUCCAAAUGUUAAGAAGGAGUUUUUCACUUCUAAGGUGUCUUGUCCCAGGUUUGUGACCCUGAAGGAUACCCACUGAGAAUAUCCUCCCAACUUGCCAUCUGCAUUGCACAUAUACUGUAAGCCCAGCAAUUAAACUUGAGCUACGUACCGGUGACUUGAAAGAUAGAAACUGAGUCCUCUUCUCCAGCUGAAGCAGCAGAAGCUAAGCUCCCAAUGGAUAUGCAAAGCAAUGCUAGAAGGAAAGAAGAACUUGACAUGAUUUGUUGCAAAUUUGGGUUUGGGGCUUGAAAAUUUAUACUCCCUAUGGUUACAAAGUUUUAAAACUUGAACCAUUUUUUAAACAGGUUAGUGCCUGCUACUCAAAAGGUUUAGACUAAAAGUCCAAGGAGCAAUAUGUGGCAUAAUUGUCAGUCCCACGUGAAAGAUUGCGACGUAUAGCGACGUUUAGCUUUCCAACAAUAGAGUUAUUUAGGAGAAAAUUGAAAAGAUAGAUCGUCACCUACAAAACCACCAUUUCAGCUGAAUUGUUCUGUGAAAUGGUCGUUGUUUAAGAAAUGCAGUACCAAGUUCGUGGCAAGAUCCUCCAAUUUUUCAGCAAAACCAGGGAUCUAUCACAUGGAAAAGAGAUUUACAAAUUUGGCAGUGACAAUUGUGCAGCAAGCAGCUGCACAAUUCAUCCAUGAAUUUGGAUGGAUCUAUGCACAUCCUUGAAUUUGGAAAUCUAGAUGUUUGGAAGAUGUGAGAGCUUGCAAGAAGCAAAAGAGAGGAUCUGCAAAGAAUCAUUUAUUGUGGAACAACAUGGAGGAUAUGCCAAAACGGCUAUCCAGAGUGAAGAAAUUGCUAUGGGACACAAGAACCUUGUAGCCUGGAACCAGGCAUACAUUCAGGUCAAAGAUACUGAAAAGGAGAGAGAAUUUGAUGCAAUGCCAGAUAAGUUUAGUGGACUGCGAUUCUUACAGCAUAUGCCCGGUGUAAAAGCGAAGAUAAUCUUUGAUCCGAUGACAUUUUUCUUCGACAUUCAAUGAUGUCUUUUCGAACCAAUUCCCGAGCACGCCUCGUGACGUGGAAUUGGUUAUCUUCUAAAUGCCAGAGCCAAGAGAGUUGUUUCCUCCAUCGUCGGAGCAUAUCCCGGAGCAUGCAUACGACCGGAGCCAAGCGUCUGUUUGCUGCCAUCCCGAGAAGAAAGAUCUCAUCGCCUGGAACACGCUGAUCACGCCGAAUGCUCGGGAUCAAACGCCACGUUGAUGGUGCCUCUGCCGUGAUCCUGGCAGUGCAACAAGGCCGUGAUCGUUUGUGAGCGUUCUUGGUGCUUGCGGCCAGCUUGGGCUGUUCUAGUGGGGAUGGAGCUACUUUCGAAACAUGGCCAACGAUCACCAAGUCCAAGCGUUGGGUGUGGAUCUCUGCGCUUGAUCUGGUCAACUAGCUGCCGAGGAUCUCAUCUCCAGCACGUCCCGGAUGGAGCCCGUCAGGAGUCAAGAGGAUCCACAACGAGCAGAACUGGCUGCUCACCUCGACACCACCAUCUCGUCACUCCUUUCCCAUAUCUAAGUCGCUCGUAGCUUGUCACGUGGUCCGUGCGUUAUAGUGAAUAAGGGAGAUAGUGAAAAUGGGAUCCAACGACAACAACGCAUACAUCUCUCUCCAAAAGUAGUAGUGUUUUAUAAUUUUACAAAAACUUACGAGCCAUUGAUUCUUUCCUGGAGUGAAAGUCAUGCUCCUUGGAAAAAUUAAGAUAUAAAUAUCUUUGAAAUGUCCAAGGAUCUGUUCAACAGUUUAUAUAAUCCGUCGGUCUCAUGCUUCUUGGUGGCCGCCACAAGACCCUGUAAACAGUUAAUGAAUGGAUGAAUGUUCUUCGCUCUUGUUAUCAUCACCAAGGUGGCACCAGUCGCACUUUGAAAGAGAAAUCUGCCACAGGAGUGAUUGUUUUCUUCAAGCUGGAAUGAAGCCUAAGUUUACACAUAGAUCUGGAUGCUUGUCAUAAUGUAUGUAUGCUAUGUCUUUGGUAGGGAUCUAAUUCAGCGGUGGUCUAAGAUGUUGCUAUCACCACCACAUGAAAAGUUGUUGUGACUGACGGGUAUUCCCAUCAUUGAGGUGGUUUUUUCUUUUGCUUGUUUGUUACGCACAACACUUCGAUCAGCGGGCGUUGCAAACUUCGAAGAGCCGACGACGCUUUGCAGCUCAUACGAGAGAUGGAGCCAGCUCCAUACACGAUCACGUGCAACACCGUCAUCAAUGGGCUCUGGAGGUCCAGGAAGGAUACAGAAGCUUAGACUUUGCUGGACGAGAUGAUCAGCAUGCGACUUACAACUGCGUUAUCGCGAAUCUCUGCCGGUCUCGCGAGAUGGAGAAGGCAAUGGACGUAUUUCUACACGAGGAAGAAGAAAUGCGAAGCGGACGAGGUAACUUUCGCAACGCUUUCACCCAGUCCGGCGAUCUGGAGCGCGCGCUGGACCACCUCCAUCGAAUGCCGUCUGGUCGUGAUCUAGUGUCCUUCCGGGACAAUGCUGCUGCAAACGUUUCCCGGGAACGAGGAGGGCGAUGCCCGAAGCGUCAAGGAUGCGUUUUGGAAGAAGCCACGACAGUGUCUUCCAUCGAAUGCCCAGGAUAUACGUCGUGUGGUGGUGCUCGAGCCGACUUGGCGAGAGCGGUGCUGGAGAGGAUGCCCUCUCCUGGGCGGCUCUGGUUUACGGCUUCGCUCAAAGGGAACUGGUCCCGGGACGUCUUGGAUGCCGCCAUAGGUGAGAUCGAGCAGAUCAAGCAUAUGUUUGAACAGCAAUUCCGGAGGCUUCGAGGGUUUUUUGAUGGAUUGAUCGAGCUAAGGGGAAGUCGUACUUGCUGCUUUCUUCUCGAGUGCUAGCAGCGCUAGCGGAGGACGAGCAGGACAGGAACUACUGCACCUAGGAUCUCGACGAGAUGAAACAGGUGGCGGCAGAGAGACAACGAUUUGCUCUUCGCGGUGGACGAGUACGAUGUUUACCACGAGAGGUACGUUGCGAGAGCGAGAGCAGGGAUCGACGUGCUGGCAUGCUGGAUCCUCCAUCGCGAUGAAUCUCUGGGUGUUUUCGAGAGUGCUCGCGAAGAACGAAGUUGGAGCUUUCCUGCGAUGGAAGGGUCUCGACGCGGAGCCAGCGGAGAUGCGCGAGCUCCGGCUCUCUUCCGCUGCUAGUGAGGAUCUACCUCGACGCGUACGUACCCAUGUUUUUUCAUGAAGAAAUCGAUAUGGGUAGAGCCCCAAAAGCAGAGCCAGAUCUUUCGUUGACGGAAGCAAUCGUUUGCUGACAUAUCCAGGAACCUCAGCUUGGGCAUUGCGGUACCGAAGCACAGGGGAGCGAGCUACAAGCAGUCAUGUCGUGCAUCCAAAAUGCGCGCUCUUAAACUCGCUAAACCAUUGCCGAAUCAACUUAACCAAUAUCUCCAUCGGAGGAAGAUUUCUGCGAAGAUCAAAGAUGGGCGAUAGAUUUUGUUUGGCAUUUCAAUGAACUUAGGGUGUACUUCAGUAAUAAGAACCCAGGAGCGUAGCAUUUUAUUCCACCAUAUAAUAUUUGAAAGGAACACCAGUGUGACCACCGGCAAUGGAGCUUGCUACGCUUCACUUUCGGAGGCUUAAACUAGUGCCACCACUUUGAGUACAAGGUCUCCUAGCGCACCGGAAGUAGAAAAGGACGGAAGCUGCACAACACAAUUCUUGCACUCAUCGCUGACAGACAGCUUAUUACUGCCAGUGUAUGGACAAUCAAAGUGUAUAGUGGCAACUUUGAAGCCCUUCGUAUAGAUGUCAAAUCCACCUGUAGUCCCAGAUGGAGAACCUUGCCUUCCACAUGCAGCAAAUGGCGGGUUGGGAGAGGUUGCUCCUGCAGCAAUGGUUAU